CCCCUAGAUGUUCUGGGCCGCACGCGCGCUACACUGACGAAUGCAACGAGCUUAUAACCUUGGCCGAAAGGUCUGGGUAAUCUCCAAAUUUCGUCGUGAUGGGGAUAGAUUAUUGCAAUUAUUAAUCUUCAGCGAGGAAUGCCUAGUAAGCGCAAGUCAUCAGCUUGCGUUGAUUACGUCCCUGCCCUUUGUACACACCGCCCGUCGCUCCUACCGAUUGAAUGGUCCGGUGAAGCGUUCGGACCGUGGCCUUUGGACGGUUCGCCGUCUGUUGGCUGCGGGAAGUUCGUUAAACCUUAUCAUUUAGAGGAAGGAGAAGUCGUAACA
This 327-nucleotide ribosomal RNA is filed under the name uncultured eukaryote. Its description in RNAcentral is "partial 18S ribosomal RNA". It matches the Rfam family "Eukaryotic small subunit ribosomal RNA", at positions 1470 to 1796 of the family's 1831-position model. The record is from RNAcentral.